RNAcentral lists this ribosomal RNA (256 nucleotides) under uncultured bacterium. RNAcentral's name for it is "partial 16S ribosomal RNA". It matches the Rfam family "Bacterial small subunit ribosomal RNA", at positions 521 to 776 of the family's 1533-position model. The record is from RNAcentral.
UAAUACGUAGGUGGCAAGCGUUGUCCGGAUUUAUUGGGUUUAAAGGGUGCGUAGGCGGUCCAUUAAGUCAGUGGUGAAAUACGGCAGCUUAACUGUCGAGGUGCCAUUGAUACUGGAGGACUUGAGUACAGACGAGGUAGGCGGAAUUGACGGUGUAGCGGUGAAAUGCUUAGAUAUCGUCAAGAACACCGAUAGCGAAGGCAGCUUACUAGACUGUAACUGACGCUGAGGCACGAAAGUGUGGGGAUCAAACAGG